GACGAACGCUGGCGGCGUGCUUAACACAUGCAAGUCGAACGGUGAAGCGCCUUCCUUUUUGGUGGGUGUGGAUGAGUGGCGAACGGGUGAGUAACACGUGAGUAACCUGCCCCCUUCUUCUGGAUAACCGCAUGAAAGUGUGGCUAAUACGGGAUAUUCUGGGUCUGUCGCAUGAUGGGUCUGGGAAAGAUAUUGUUUCGGUGGGGGAUGGGCUCGCGGCCUAUCAGCUUGUUGGUGGGGUGAUGGCCUACCAAGGCGGUGACGGGUAGCCGGCCUGAGAGGGUGGACGGUCACACUGGGACUGAGACACGGCCCAGACUCCUACGGGAGGCAGCAGUGGGGAAUAUUGCACAAUGGGCGCAAGCCUGAUGCAGCGACGCCGCGUGAGGGAUGGAGGCCUUCGGGUUGUGAACCUCUUUCGCCAGUGAAGCAGGCCUGCCUCGUUUGUGGGUGGGUUGACGGUAGCUGGAUAAGAAGCGCCGGCUAUCUACGUG
RNAcentral lists this ribosomal RNA (494 nucleotides) under uncultured bacterium. Its description in RNAcentral is "partial 16S ribosomal RNA". It matches the Rfam family "Bacterial small subunit ribosomal RNA", at positions 28 to 507 of the family's 1533-position model. The record is from RNAcentral.